Molecule: long non-coding RNA, 751 nt
Organism: Dioscorea cayenensis subsp. rotundata (Guinea yam)
Lineage: Eukaryota; Viridiplantae; Streptophyta; Magnoliopsida; Dioscoreales; Dioscoreaceae
Exons: 3
Source: RefSeq, a predicted model, not a curated record
CUUCUUCUUCUUCUUCUCCUUGAGAGCAGCUCAAAGCUUGCUUGCAUUUGGCAUCUUUAGGAGGCUGAAUUUUCAGUUUUUCUUCCCUUGAAGCUUGGAGACGGAGGGAGAUUCUCUUCACCGGCGGAUCAUCGGAGAGGUUAGAGAUUAUUGCAGCAAGCCUUAGUUCGCGGGACUUGGUGAACCCGACAUUGUAGCUUGGAGCCAGUACAUCUCCAUUCAUGGCUUGCCCAGCUAGGAGGAGUAAGUCCUAACUAUGUGCACAUGUAUUCAGUAGUAGUGCUACCCCCUGACUGCGGUCGAAGAUCCGACUUCGGUUGUUGAUAUUCUGUUCUGUUAUGGCUUCAUAGUCGACGAUCCAACCUCGUACUAUUGAUUUCUGUUAUCAGUCAGGGAGAUGUACACAUCUGUUUUUCUGCGUGUUUUUCGUAUUUCUGAUUAUUUCCGUAUUCAUAAUAUUUUCUGUAUUUCUGAGUGAAUUAUUAUAAUUACUCUACAAUAUCUGUUAUUUUUGUGAUCCUACUGGGCCUUUGUGGCUCAUGCACUCUGUGAAUUUCUGUUCUCGCAAGAGAAGAUCAAGUCUAGGACCGGGGUGUGUCGUGGAGUCAUUUUUCCUGCUUUGAUAGUAUCUUUGUAGUGCACUUCCUUGUGUGAGUAAGACUUGUAUCCGUCUAUAUAUUUUGGUCUAUAAACUGCUUAUGUGAUAUUAUAUUCUGCAGGACUGUUAAAGUCCAUACUUGUACUGUUUCAG